Molecule: unclassified non-coding RNA, 175 nt
Filed under: uncultured Sarcosomataceae
Lineage: Eukaryota; Fungi; Ascomycota; Pezizomycetes; Pezizales; Sarcosomataceae
Description: sequence contains ITS1
Source: RNAcentral
ACAAUCUCAACGCAUGGCAUACGCAGUAUGUUCAUGACGUUCCGAUUAAAUCCUCUCUGUGAAUCUUCCACUGUUGCUUCCAUGCGUUGGCUCUUUGGAGCAGCGCAUGGGACUGCAAUGUAACACCGUGUUCUGUGGUUCCAGUCUGAGUGGUAACUCACAAUCUAACAAGUUA